RNAcentral lists this non-coding RNA (31 nucleotides) under Homo sapiens (human). The record is from RNAcentral. Lineage: Eukaryota; Metazoa; Chordata; Mammalia; Primates; Hominidae.
AUGACGACCAGGCCUGCAGUCUUCUGUGCAA